GUGAUCUAGCCAUGGGCAGGUUGAAGGUUGGGUAACACUAACUGGAGGACCGAACCGACUAAUGUUGAAAAAUUAGCGGAUGACCUGUGGCUGGGGGUGAAAGGCCAAUCAAACCGGGAGAUAGCUGGUUCUCCCCGAAAGCUAUUUAGGUAGCGCCUCGUGAAUUCAUCUCCGGGGGUAGAGCACUGUUUCGGCUAGGGGGCCAUCCCGGCUUACCAACCCGAUGCAAACUGCGAAUACCGGAGAAUGUUAUCACGGGAGACACACGGCGGGUGCUAACGUCCGUCGUGAAGAGGGAAACAACCCAGACCGCCAGCUAAGGUCCCAAAGUCAUGGUUAAGUGGGAAACGAUGUGGGAAGGCCCAGACAGCCAGGAUGUUGGCUUAGAAGCAGCCAUCAUUUAAAGAAAGCGUAAUAGCUCACUGGUCGAGUCGGCCUGCGCGGAAGAUGUAACGGGGCUAAACCAUGCACCGAAGCUGCGGCAGCGACACUGUGUGUUGUUGGGUAGGGGAGCGUUCUGUAAGCCUGUGAAGGUGUGUCGUGAGGCAUGCUGGAGGUAUCAGAAGUGCGAAUGCUGACAUAAGUAACGAUAAAGCGGGUGAAAAGCCCGCUCGCCGGAAGACCAAGGGUUCCUGUCCAACGUUAAUCGGGGCAGGGUGAGUCGACCCCUAAGGCGAGGCCGAAAGGCGUAGUCGAUGGGAAACGGGUUAAUAUUCCCGUACUUGGUGUUACUGCGAAGGGGGGACGGAGAAGGCUAUGUUGGCCGGGCGACGGUUGUCCCGGUUUAAGCGUGUAGGUGUGUGUUCCAGGUAAAUCCGGUUCACUUUAACACUGAGGCGUGACGACGAGGCACUACGGUGCUGAAGCAACAAAUGCCCUGCUUCCAGGAAAAGCCUCUAAGCAUCAGGUAACAUCAAAUCGUACCCCAAACCGACACAGGUGGUCAGGUAGAGAAUACCAAGGCGCUUGAGAGAACUCGGGUGAAGGAACUAGGCAAAAUGGUGCCGUAACUUCGGGAGAAGGCACGCUGACACGUAGGUGAAGUGAUUUACUCAUGGAGCUGAAGUCAGUCGAAGAUACCAGCUGGCUGCAACUGUUUAUUAAAAACACAGCACUGUGCAAACACGAAAGUGGACGUAUACGGUGUGACGCCUGCCCGGUGCCGGAAGGUUAAUUGAUGGGGUCAGCGCAAGCGAAGCUCCUGAUCGAAGCCCCGGUAAACGGCGGCCGUAACUAUAACGGUCCUAAGGUAGCGAAAUUCCUUGUCGGGUAAGUUCCGACCUGCACGAAUGGCGUAAUGAUGGCCAGGCUGUCUCCACCCGAGACUCAGUGAAAUUGAACUCGCUGUGAAGAUGCAGUGUACCCGCGGCAAGACGGAAAGACCCCGUGAACCUUUACUAUAGCUUGACACUGAACAUUGAGCCUUGAUGUGUAGGAUAGGUGGGAGGCUUUGAAGUGUGGACGCCAGUCUGCAUGGAGCCGACCUUGAAAUACCACCCUUUAAUGUUUGAUGUUCUAACGUGGACCCGUUACCCGGGUUGCGGACAGUGUCUGGUGGGUAGUUUGACUGGGGCGGUCUCCUCCUAAAGAGUAACGGAGGAGCACGAAGGUUGGCUAAUCCUGGUCGGACAUCAGGAGGUUAGUGCAAUGGCAUAAGCCAGCUUGACUGCGAGCGUGACGGCGCGAGCAGGUGCGAAAGCAGGUCAUAGUGAUCCGGUGGUUCUGAAUGGAAGGGCCAUCGCUCAACGGAUAAAAGGUACUCCGGGGAUAACAGGCUGAUACCGCCCAAGAGUUCAUAUCGACGGCGGUGUUUGGCACCUCGAUGUCGGCUCAUCACAUCCUGGGGCUGAAGUAGGUCCCAAGGGUAUGGCUGUUCGCCAUUUAAAGUGGUACGCGAGCUGGGUUUAGAACGUCGUGAGACAGUUCGGUCCCUAUCUGCCGUGGGCGCUGGAGAACUGAGGGGGGCUGCUCCUAGUACGAGAGGACCGGAGUGGACGCAUCACUGGUGUUCGGGUUGUCAUGCCAAUGGCACUGCCCGGUAGCUAAAUGCGGAAGAGAUAAGUGCUGAAAGCAUCUAAGCACGAAACUUGCCCCGA
This 2096-nucleotide ribosomal RNA is filed under the name Salmonella enterica. Its description in RNAcentral is "partial 23S ribosomal RNA". It matches the Rfam family "Bacterial large subunit ribosomal RNA", at positions 725 to 2802 of the family's 2925-position model. Lineage: Bacteria; Pseudomonadati; Pseudomonadota; Gammaproteobacteria; Enterobacterales; Enterobacteriaceae. RNAcentral also lists the same sequence under 1 other name. The record is from RNAcentral.